AUGGAUUUUUAACCACUGGACCACCAGGCAAAUCCAGUAAUUUAUUUUUUUUCCUAUGUCCCGUGGGAGAGAGAUCUCAAAGAGUUUCAGGUUUAUUGUUCUGCUGAGCUUUGCAUGGGCCAACGUGUUUUCUCCUGCCCCUCCCAUUCUAGGGGACAGACUCAAGCAUAGAGUUUCCACCAAAGCAGCACCGCGGAGACCCCGCCCUUCCCCCAAAUGCAAUCCAGAAAAUUCUCCUCCACCAAAUAAUAAUUGUCGCAUCCUCAAGGUCCUGGUCACAUGUGUUUGAACACUUCUGACAAGCCAGGUGUGAGAUCUGGUCAUAAAGGAUGUGGGAGGAGGCCAACUUGGAAUUGAUUUCAGGAGGAGGAGGAGGUCUGAUGUCUCGAAGCUCAAGGUUCCAGUCACUGGAGUAUUCCAGGGAAUAAUGGAAACCAUGGUCACGGUGAUGGUCUGAGAACAUUUGCAUGCUUGAUUCACCAGAGAAUCUUAGAAACUUAUGACUUUGUUCUUGGGAUGCUGCCAGUCUUUCUGGAAGUGGCUGUACUUUGGGAUGAAAGCAGCUGAGGAAAUAAAAAAGUGUUAGGUCAGGACCAACAGCCUGACGUAAAAUCCCCAGGCCAGCGUUGCAAAUGAGAGGUCGGCCAACCCCCAGGCCAAGUGUACUCUUGAUGGAAAACUAAUUAAUUCUCAAGAAGGAAGUAUGUCAUUGGAUAGAGUUCC
Molecule: long non-coding RNA, 723 nt
Organism: Bubalus bubalis (water buffalo)
Lineage: Eukaryota; Metazoa; Chordata; Mammalia; Artiodactyla; Bovidae
Exons: 3
Source: RefSeq, a predicted model, not a curated record